RNAcentral lists this ribosomal RNA (117 nucleotides) under Zea mays. Lineage: Eukaryota; Viridiplantae; Streptophyta; Magnoliopsida; Poales; Poaceae. The record is from RNAcentral.
GGAUGCGAUCAUACCAGCACUAAAGCACCAGAUCCCAUCAGAAAUCCGAAGUUAAGCGUGCAUGGGAAAGAUUAGUACUAGGAUGGGUGACCUUCUGGUGAAGAAAUAGAGCAAGUU